RNAcentral lists this ribosomal RNA (1522 nucleotides) under metagenome. RNAcentral's name for it is "bacterial SSU rRNA". It matches the Rfam family "Bacterial small subunit ribosomal RNA". The record is from RNAcentral.
AGAGUUUGAUCAUGGCUCAGAUUGAACGCUGGCGGCAGGCCUAACACAUGCAAGUCGAACGGUAACAGGAAGCAGCUUGCUGCUUCGCUGACGAGUGGCGGACGGGUGAGUAAUGUCUGGGAAGCUGCCUGAUGGAGGGGGAUAACUACUGGAAACGGUAGCUAAUACCGCAUAAUGUCGCAAGACCAAAGAGGGGGACCUUCGGGCCUCUUGCCAUCGGAUGUGCCCAGAUGGGAUUAGCUUGUUGGUGGGGUAACGGCUCACCAAGGCGACGAUCCCUAGCUGGUCUGAGAGGAUGACCAGCCACACUGGAACUGAGACACGGUCCAGACUCCUACGGGAGGCAGCAGUGGGGAAUAUUGCACAAUGGGCGCAAGCCUGAUGCAGCCAUGCCGCGUGUAUGAAGAAGGCCUUCGGGUUGUAAAGUACUUUCAGCGGGGAGGAAGGGAGUAAAGUUAAUACCUUUGCUCAUUGACGUUACCCGCAGAAGAAGCCCCGGCUAACUCCGUGCCAGCAGCCGCGGUAAUACGGAGGGUGCAAGCGUUAAUCGGAAUUACUGGGCGUAAAGCGCACGCAGGCGGUUUGUUAAGUCAGAUGUGAAAUCCCCGGGCUCAACCUGGGAACUGCAUCUGAUACUGGCAAGCUUGAGUCUCGUAGAGGGGGGUAGAAUUCCAGGUGUAGCGGUGAAAUGCGUAGAGAUCUGGAGGAAUACCGGUGGCGAAGGCGGCCCCCUGGACGAAGACUGACGCUCAGGUGCGAAAGCGUGGGGAGCAAACAGGAUUAGAUACCCUGGUAGUCCACGCCGUAAACGAUGUCGACUUGGAGGUUGUGCCCUUGAGGCGUGGCUUCCGGAGCUAACGCGUUAAGUCGACCGCCUGGGGAGUACGGCCGCAAGGUUAAAACUCAAAUGAAUUGACGGGGGCCCGCACAAGCGGUGGAGCAUGUGGUUUAAUUCGAUGCAACGCGAAGAACCUUACCUGGUCUUGACAUCCACGGAAGUUUUCAGAGAUGAGAAUGUGCCUUCGGGAACCGUGAGACAGGUGCUGCAUGGCUGUCGUCAGCUCGUGUUGUGAAAUGUUGGGUUAAGUCCCGCAACGAGCGCAACCCUUAUCCUUUGUUGCCAGCGGUCCGGCCGGGAACUCAAAGGAGACUGCCAGUGAUAAACUGGAGGAAGGUGGGGAUGACGUCAAGUCAUCAUGGCCCUUACGACCAGGGCUACACACGUGCUACAAUGGCGCAUACAAAGAGAAGCGACCUCGCGAGAGCAAGCGGACCUCAUAAAGUGCGUCGUAGUCCGGAUUGGAGUCUGCAACUCGACUCCAUGAAGUCGGAAUCGCUAGUAAUCGUGGAUCAGAAUGCCACGGUGAAUACGUUCCCGGGCCUUGUACACACCGCCCGUCACACCAUGGGAGUGGGUUGCAAAAGAAGUAGGUAGCUUAACCUUCGGGAGGGCGCUUACCACUUUGUGAUUCAUGACUGGGGUGAAGUCGGAACAAGGUAACCGUAGGGGGACCUGCGGUUG